Molecule: ribosomal RNA, 1242 nt
Filed under: metagenome
Description: bacterial LSU rRNA
Rfam family: Bacterial large subunit ribosomal RNA
Source: RNAcentral
UGAGUACGAGAUGCUACGGCAUCGAAGCAGUCUAUGUCAUACUUCCAAGAAAAGCUUGCACUGUCAGAAACAGAUAAUGCCUGUACCAUAACCGACACAGGUGGGUAGGUAGAGUAUACUAAGGGGCGCGAGAUAACUCUCUCUAAGGAACUCGGCAAAAUGACUCCGUAACUUCGGGAGAAGGAGUGCCUAAUUUUUAAGGUUGCAAUAACAAGAUCCAAGCAACUGUUUACCAAAAACACAGGUCUCCGCUAAGUCGUAAGACGAUGUAUGGGGGCUGACGCCUGCCCAGUGCCAGAAGGUUAAAGAAGUCGGUUAGCAUUCGCGAAGCUGGUAACUGAAGCCCUGGUGAACGGCGGCCGUAACUAUAACGGUCCUAAGGUAGCGAAAUUCCUUGUCGGGUAAGUUCCGACCCGCACGAAAGGCGUAAUGAUUUGGAUACUGUCUCGGAGAGGGGCUCGGUGAAAUAGACUUGUCUGUGAAGAUGCGGACUACCUGCACCUGGACAGAAAGACCCUAUGAAGCUUUACUGUAACUUGAAAUUGAAAUUGGACUUUAUUUGCGCAGUAUAGGUGGGAGGCGUUGAAAAUAUUCUUGCGGGAAUAUUGGAGCCAUCAGUGAGAUACCACUCUUGUAAUGUUAGAUUUCUAACUUUAUAUCAUUAUCUGGUUAAAGAACAGUUUCAGGCGGGCAGUUUGACUGGGGCGGUCGCCUCCCAAAUGGUAACGGAGGCGCACAAAGGUUUCCUCUGAACGGGUAGAAAUCGUAUCUAGAGUGUAAAGGCAUAAGGAAGCUUGACUGUGAGACCUACAAGUCGAGCAGGGACGAAAGUCGGUCUUAGUGAUCUGACGGUGCUGAGUGGAAAGGCCGUCACUCAACGGAUAAAAGUUACUCUAGGAUAACAGGCUGAUCUCCCCCAAGAGUUCACAUCGACGGGGAGGUUUGGCACCUCGAUGUCGGCUCAUCGCAUCCUGGGGCGGUAGUACGUCCCAAGGGUUGGGCUGUUCGCCCAUGAAAGCGGUACGCGAGCUGGGUUCAGAACGUCGUGAGACAGUUCGGUCCAUAUCCGGUGUAGGCGUUAGAAUAUUGAGAGGAGCCUUCUUUAGUACGAGAGGACCGAGAAGGACAUACCUCUGGUGUACCAGUUAUCGUGCCAACGGUAAACGCUGGGUAGCUAUGUAUGGAGUGGAUAACCGCUGAAAGCAUCUAAGUGGGAAGCCCACCUCAAGAUAAGUAUUCUCU